RNAcentral lists this ribosomal RNA (409 nucleotides) under uncultured bacterium. RNAcentral describes it as "bacterial SSU rRNA". It matches the Rfam family "Bacterial small subunit ribosomal RNA", at positions 505 to 916 of the family's 1533-position model. The record is from RNAcentral.
GUGUCAGCCGCCGCGGUAAUACGGAGGGUGCAAGCGUUAUCCGGAUUCAUUGGGUUUAAAGGGUGCGCAGGCGGAUAAUUAAGUCAGUGGUGAAAUCCCGGGGCUCAACCUCGGAACUGCCAUUGAUACUGAUAAUCUGGAAUACGGUUGAAGUGGGCGGAAUGUAGCAUGUGGCGGUGAAAUGCAUAGAGAUGCUACAGAACACCGAUCGCGAAGGCAGCUCACUAAGCCGAUAUUGACGCUCAGGCACGAAAGCGUGGGGAGCGAACAGGAUUAGAUACCCUGGUAGUCCACGCCGUAAACGAUGAUAACUCGUUGUUGGCGAUAUACAGUCAGCGACUAAGCGAAAGCGAUAAGUUAUCCACCUGGGGAGUACGAUCGCAAGGUUGAAACUCAAAGGAAUUGACGG